Molecule: long non-coding RNA, 1367 nt
Filed under: Coturnix japonica (Japanese quail)
Lineage: Eukaryota; Metazoa; Chordata; Aves; Galliformes; Phasianidae
Description: lncRNA (ENSCJPG00005011060.1)
Source: RNAcentral
UUUAGGGUGAGAGGAGAUGAAAUUGUUAAAUCUAAUUCUGGUUACAAAUGUAUUAUUGACUUACCCGAUUAAUGUGAUUCACCCUUUCCUCUGUGAAUAGGCACAGUGUGAAUCUCAUAGAAUUCCCUCCUUUGACCUUGAGACUGGAGUAUGAAAGAUUGCAUUGUCUCUUUGUGCAGUUACCUUUUCUUCCUCCUUGAAGAGUUGAACAGUCUGCCCAUGUGUAUGUAUCAAGUGUUUUUGUUUUCUGAAGAAGUAGCUUGGGGGGCUCAAGUCACUUGGUUUUCCAAAGUUUGUUUUUUCCACUUUUUCUGCAUAUUCACUAUUGGCCAUAACAUCUUUGAAAUUCAUCACACCCUAGAAGGCGAAAGUGUCAUGACUAAGAAAAACUUAUGACUCGAGAUAUUUGAGACACAGUAUGAAUGUUUACAGAAUCUGUACCAAAUUCAGUUUACACAUACAAAAGAACUUUGAAAUUGAAUGAUAUUUUUCUUCUUUUAUCUAGAUGAAAAACUGAAUUUUGCCUAGAUUUGAUCCAAAAUUUUCUCUACGAGUACCAUAGGAGCAGUCUUGCUCUCCUCCAUAGUCUGAUGGUCAAGAUCCUCAGUCUCAGUAAAGUUAAGAACCAGUGUCAUCAAGCUACAAGAAAAUACAGGUAUCCUAUGAAAGGGAAUUGUGUGUAAAGGCCAUUUGAGAAACAGCAGCAUUUCAUGAAAAGAAGCAGUGGGAACAAUUACUCUAACAUCAGCUGAUGUAUCUUCUGUGGCUAGUCCAGCACUCAGUUAUUUCCUGUAAAAAAUCACCAUUUAGGCUUCUCAUGAACCUAGUAAAGAGGCAGAAUUGUUAAGAAUAGAGUGGUUCAGCUCCCUUUCUUUCACUAUUGCUUAUAGAAGGUUCACAGAUAAUUAAUAGUAAUUCACAAAAUUUUACAUAGCUAUAAGGAUAAAUGUAAUACACAUAGUUUGAUUUCUCAAGUCAACUGUCCUGUCACUGCCAAGGGUUCCUUAUCACUGAAUGCUGUGACAAAUAUGUUGUGAAUCUCCUUAAAAAUUUUGAUUUUUUUUUUUCCCCCAAAAGCGAUUUUCUUUCUGAGCAACUGACAUCACAAUUUGUGGAUGCCCCUGCCUGGAAGCAUUCAAGUCCAAGCUGAAUGGGCAUGUGAAUAAUCUGGUCUAGAGGGAGGUGUCUCUGCCUAUAGCAGGGGCUUGGAACUAAAUCUUAAAGGUCCCUUCCAACCCAAGCCAUUCUAUUAAUCUAUGAAGUAAAUUAAAAUUUAGUAACAGACAGUGGACUUCCAGCCUUACUAAGCUUUUUCUUAAUUCAAGAACUAGAUACAAAAUAAACAGUAACAAUUCAAUUCCUAUCCA